This 495-nucleotide ribosomal RNA is filed under the name uncultured bacterium. RNAcentral describes it as "bacterial SSU rRNA". It matches the Rfam family "Bacterial small subunit ribosomal RNA", at positions 29 to 517 of the family's 1533-position model. The record is from RNAcentral.
AACGAACGCUGGCGGCGCGCUUAAUACAUGCAAGUCGAACGAGAAGGUGUAGCAAUACACUUGUAAAGUGGCGAACGGGUGAGGAAUACAUGGGUAACCUACCCUCGAGUGGGGAACAACCAGCCGAAAGGUUGGCUAAUACCGCGUACGCUUCCGGAUCUUCGGAUUCGGAAGGAAAGUCAUACCGUGGGUAUGACGCUCAAGGAUGGGCUCAUGUCCUAUCAGCUUGUUGGUAGGGUAACGGCCUACCAAGGCUCCGACGGGUAGCUGGUCUGAGAGGACGAUCAGCCACACUGGCACUGCGACACGGGCCAGACUCCUACGGGAGGCAGCAGUAAGGAAUAUUGCGCAAUGGGCGAAAGCCUGACGCAGCGACGCCGCGUGGGGGAUGAAGGUCUUCGGAUUGUAAACCCCUUUCGGGAGGGAAAAUGGAACGAGCAAUCGUUCGGAUGGUACCUCCAGAAGCAGCCACGGCUAACUUCGUGCCAGCAGCCG